UUAUAAGCAAAAAUCAACUUUCUAGGUUCAUUCAUUAAAUGAUGUAUUUUGUCAAUAAUAUAGACCAAAUACAUCAUUUAAUGAAUGAACCUAGAAAGUUGAUUUUUGCUUAUAA
This is a microRNA precursor of Medicago truncatula (barrel medic), 115 nucleotides long. It matches the Rfam family "MIR2593 microRNA precursor family". The record is from Rfam. Lineage: Eukaryota; Viridiplantae; Streptophyta; Magnoliopsida; Fabales; Fabaceae.